GACGUAGGGCGCGAGCGUUGUCCGGAUUUAUUGGGCGUAAAGAGCUCGUAGGCGGCUUGUCGCGUCGGCUGUGAAAUCCCGUGGCUCAACUGCGGGCUGGCAGCCGAUACGGGCAGGCUAGAGUUCGGUAGGGGAGACUGGAAUUCCUGGUGUAGCGGUGAAAUGCGCAGAUAUCAGGAGGAACACCGGUGGCGAAGGCGGGUCUCUGGGCCGAUACUGACGCUGAGGAGCGAAAGCGUGGGGAGCGAACAGG
Molecule: ribosomal RNA, 253 nt
Filed under: uncultured bacterium
Lineage: Bacteria
Also listed under: 1 other name
Description: partial 16S ribosomal RNA
Rfam family: Bacterial small subunit ribosomal RNA
Source: RNAcentral